AAUUUUGGACAAUGGGGGCAACCCUGAUCCAGCCAUCCCGCGUGUGCGAUGAAGGCCUUCGGGUUGUAAAGCACUUUUGUCAGGGAAGAAAAAGUACGGGCUAAUAUCCUGUGCGAAUGACGGUACCUGAAGAAUAAGCACCGGCUAACUACGUGCCAGCAGCCGCGGUAAUACGUAGGGUGCAAGCGUUAAUCGGAAUUACUGGGCAUAAAGGGUGCGCAGGCGGUUUAUCAAGAAAGGUGUGAAAUCCCCGGGCUCAACCUGGGAAUGGCACUUUUAACUGAUAGGCUAGAGUAUGUCAGAGGGGGGUAGAAUUCCACGUGUAGCAGUGAAAUGCGUAGAGACGUGGAGGAAUACCGAUGGCGAAGGCAGCCCCCUGGGAUAAUACUGACGCUCAUGCACGAAAGCGUGGGGAGCAAACAGG
This 424-nucleotide ribosomal RNA is filed under the name uncultured bacterium. Its description in RNAcentral is "partial 16S ribosomal RNA". It matches the Rfam family "Bacterial small subunit ribosomal RNA", at positions 360 to 776 of the family's 1533-position model. The record is from RNAcentral.